GUGGGGUUGUAGUUCAGUGGUGGAGCACUUGCCUCGCAUGCAUGAGGCCCUGGGUUCAAUCCUUAGCACCACA
This 73-nucleotide transfer RNA is filed under the name Marmota monax (woodchuck). RNAcentral's name for it is "tRNA.Ala". It matches the Rfam family "tRNA". Rfam says of the family: Transfer RNA (tRNA) molecules are approximately 80 nucleotides in length. Their secondary structure includes four short double-helical elements and three loops (D, anti-codon, and T loops). Lineage: Eukaryota; Metazoa; Chordata; Mammalia; Rodentia; Sciuridae. The record is from RNAcentral.